RNAcentral lists this ribosomal RNA (367 nucleotides) under uncultured eukaryote. RNAcentral describes it as "SSU rRNA". It matches the Rfam family "Eukaryotic small subunit ribosomal RNA", at positions 587 to 972 of the family's 1831-position model. The record is from RNAcentral.
AGCUCCAAUAGCGUAUAUUAAAGUUGUUGCAGUUAAAAAGCUCGUAGUUGAACUUCUGGCUAUUCUUCCAGCUGGCUUCGGUCGCUGUAAGAGUGGUCAUCCGCUUGGGAACUACGUUCGAACUUCACUGUUCGGCGUAAGGAACAGGCAUUUUACUUAGAAAAAAUUAGAGUGUUCAAGGCAGGCUAUCGCCCUGAAUACACAAGCUUGGAAUAAUGAAAUAGGACUAUUUCCAUUUUAUUGGUUAUUGGAAUUAGUAAUGAUUAAUAGGGACAGUUGGGGACAUUAGUAUUUAAUUGUCAGAGGUGAAAUUCUUGGAUUUAUUAAAGACUAACUUAUGCGAAAGCAUUUGUCAAGGAUGUUUUCA